GUGCCUACGGGGCGCAGCAGUGGGGAAUAUUGCACAAUGGGCGCAAGCCUGAUGCAGCGACGCCGCGUGCGGGAUGGAGGCCUUCGGGUUGUAAACCGCUUUUGUUCAAGGGCAAGGCACGGUCUUUGGCCGUGUUGAGUGGAUUGUUCGAAUAAGCACCGGCUAACUACGUGCCAGCAGCCGCGGUAAUACGUAGGGCGCAAGCGUUAUCCGGAUGAAUUGGGCGGAAAGGGCUCGUAGGCGGUUCGUCGCGUCAGGUGUGGAAGUCCAUCGCUUAACGGCGGGUGCGCGCCGGGGACGGGCGG
Molecule: ribosomal RNA, 305 nt
Filed under: uncultured bacterium
Lineage: Bacteria
Description: bacterial SSU rRNA
Rfam family: Bacterial small subunit ribosomal RNA
Source: RNAcentral